UGUUCUCCUGCAGGGGACACAUUGAAGCUGUUAGUAUAAAAAUCAUGUACUGCCGAUUUAUGUAGUGUUACUGCAGGCUGAAAGAAAAACUCUAUAUUUAAUCAAUUUUAUUGUAGCAGCUAGGAUCAGCUUAGUGCUCCUGUGAGUUCCAUUUGUGUCAAUUCAGGUAACCUCUGUGGACAAAGCACUUCCUCUAAUCUCUUAACCCUAACCCGCAGAUUUUUCUCCUGCACGUGUGUAAUUAGAAACAAAGAUUCUCAUCCUGCGUCUCUUAAAGGUCAAAUGUAUUACUCACACUAUUUGGACGGCAUGCAGUUACUCUUCACUUCCUACCUCUAAGCUAAGCUAUGGUUUUAGUUAUUAAAAAUAACUUAAAACAAAUAAAUAAUAAUACUGACGGUUAUGUAUGGAUAUAGAGGCAUCUGUAUUAAUUUCAGUCUUUUUUUUAUUAGUGGCUAAAAAUGUCUCAUGGGAGCUUGAAUAUAUUCAAAAUGUUUGUUUCAUUUUGUCUGUCCACAUGAUAAACACGUUUAUCAGGGAAAAGCUGGCUUAACAAAAUCAGACCAGUAACUUUAAAGCCCCACAAUAACAUGUUGUAUCUCAACAAUCUCUGUUUGGAUUUAAUCUGUAAACCAUAAACUACAAGUUAAAGUUUUACAGAGGGGGUUAAGGGCCAGGUCAUGUCUGAGUCACUUUCUUGUUAAACAACUCACCAACCCCCUUUCAGAAAGUCAGACUUCUGAAACUAUCAUUAAACUAAUCAUUCACUGACAGUUAUUCUGUUGCUCAAUCAUAAUCGUGGUUAAAAUGAGGAGUGUUGCAUUGUGGGAGUGUUAGCAAAAAGAAGGGAAACAAAUGUUGAUCUCUUAUCGUCUUACAGAGAUGUUAUUGUCAAAGCAGGUGGCGGGUCCUUUUCGAUAGCGCGCCACAGCCACUUCUUCACAUGGAUUAUCCUCCAAGACUGAAAAUUCACUCCAUUAAGGAAAACUGAAAAACCCUUUUCCCGUUGUUUAUUCUUUUUUUUCUUUUUGCAAUGUUUCAACCCCGCCCACAAAAUGAUCCUCACAUAUUCCCUGAGACUCUCACCAUGCAGCUGCAGACGUCCACCAAGCAAUGUUUACGAAAUCUGCAAUAGUCGGCUGUAGAAACAGAUGAAAGAGAAUGAUGUUUGAUGGUCUUCCCUCCCACUGUGAUCUCCACCGCUGUGCUGACCAGAAUUCCUAUGGUGUCGUUCUCUGGGUUCAGCAGCUCGUCCC
Molecule: non-coding RNA, 1256 nt
Organism: Labrus bergylta (ballan wrasse)
Lineage: Eukaryota; Metazoa; Chordata; Actinopteri; Labriformes; Labridae
Source: RefSeq, a predicted model, not a curated record